This is a long non-coding RNA of Ailuropoda melanoleuca (giant panda), 547 nucleotides long. RefSeq lists it as uncharacterized. The transcript has 4 exons. Lineage: Eukaryota; Metazoa; Chordata; Mammalia; Carnivora; Ursidae. The record is from RefSeq and is a predicted model, not a curated record.
GAGAACCCCGGCGCACAUUGCGCACACGCUCGGCUGCGCCAUGAAGCUGCUCGGUCGGUCCGCGCUCGCUGCCGUCCUCCUGCUACUCCUCCUCGGCCUCCACACGGCGCGGCCCGGGAGGCAGGGGCGGCAGAAGGCUGUGAAGAAGCCCGGAUACUGCCCAGAGUUUUUACUCAGGUGCCCUUUCAUCCUCUUACCCCUGUGCCGCCGCGACAGAGGGUGCAAGGGGGACAAGAAGUGUUGCUUCUACAACUGCAGGCAUCAGUGUAUGGAGCCGUGGCUCAGCUUGGAGUGAGUUUGUAAUCAUGAGCCACUUUCCUCUCCACGUUUAACAUGUGAGGGAGAAACCUCGUCUUAACCAGACCUGAGAAGAUCCGUCAGACAGGCUCAGACUCGGAUAACUGAUCCCCGGUUCCUCCAAGCUCUCCUUACUCCCCAAGCUUCCUUUUAUCAGGAGUUAAAUGCUUAUUAACAUGAAAACAACACAAAGCAAUAAAGUGUUAUGUAUUUAAAACUACAUGAAAACCUAAGCCUGUUGGAUAGCCAC